UCUCACCUCCCUUCUCUGCCAGGCGGAUCUCGUUACUGUUCCCUUCAUACGUGAACAGAGCCCUGAAAACACAACACAACCACAAUGUCAGGGUGUGGACACGGUUCCAUAUUUCAGUCAACAAGGAAGAGAAGUGAGACUCGUUUCGUUUUCUGAGAGAGAUCAAACUCACCAGUUUGUCUUGGUCUUUCCGUCCACCACCUCUUUGUAAGCAGCCAUGAGGGCAGCACCGUUCUUACUCAGGUUCACUGCCAUGUUCCUCCACGUCUCCUCACUCUCAGUCCAAACCGGCAGCAGACUAACAAUCCCACAGCUUCAGGAGGAAUGAAAAGCUCCAGGUGGAUGAUUAAGAGUUUCCAGUCUCAGAGCAGAGAGAGUCUGAAGAGUCAAACCUGUCAGGGAGGAAAAGCAGAACCUGAUCAGCCACAUUCUUCUACAGGAAUUCCUUCUCCGACAUGUUGCGGCUCCCAGAGGCUCCAUGAGGAGCAUGUGAUCCAGAGGCUCCGCCCAUCAGAGGUCAUGUGACGACAUGGACACCAGUACCUGUCGGAUAUAACCGAAAGGUCAAGGGUCAACUUCACAGUGACGUGGUAGAAUCCCAUGAAAACACUUUUCUGGCCAUUUGUCUUAUUGUAAUUCUCAUUCUCAUUCUAACAGACACACGUCCCUCGGUGUUUGUAGAUAUCAGGGCACAUCCGUGUUAGUUCCAGGCCCAUGAGCAGAACCUGAGACCUUCACAGUCGAUGUCCUGGACGACUCACUAACUGUUCUCUAACUGUUCAGUAACGUUUCCCACUCAGUGACGGAGCUUUGGAACGAUCCAUCACAGUCGUGACCUCCUCGACCCCGUCAGGCACACUGAGAUAUGAACCCUCUGCUGCAGGGGAUAAAACCUGAGCUGGAGCUGAGGCUUGAAACUGAAACAAACGUUGUUCACACACACACAUACUCACACACACACACACACACACACACACACACACACACACACACACACACACACACACACACACACACCAGCAGCUGUGUGAAUCAGCAGGAGGGGGAGUACACAGACGGCUCAGUCUCUGGCUCAGCUCCAGACACUAAAGAUUCUCCCCCCUGAAGCGAUGCAGGACCUGGGGCGACGAGGGGAAGAGGCUGCAUACCUCCGCUCAGACGUAACCCCCAGAACCUGCCUCCCACUGCCGGACCAGUCCCCGACCUGCUCCCCCACCAGUCAGGAGAACACUAGUUGUGUAUACAUUCAUGUGAGUGUGUUACGGCUGGAGAGACCCUGCACGGGGAGGAAAUCCCUCUUUUGUUUCCGAGGAAGCCGAGUGUGUGUUUUGUGUGUUUAAUGGAGGAAACUGAAACAUGGUGGAAGCAGGAGGAUGGAUGUGUCUCGCCUCCGCUUGACAGCCACUGGGAACCAGACACUUCAGUCAAUACAUUUAAAGAGAAACUGGUUCAGACCACGUGUCAGUGGUGUGUCAGUGAUGUGUCCACUGUGCUAGGUGACGCCCCCUGGUGGUUUGUGGGCUGCUGCUCUAAAGCCUCAGUUUGACACAGUGUUCAGAGCCAUCUUGUUUUUUAAAACCAGGAGUAACCAUAUUUGGAGGACAAGGGGGUGGAGCCUGAGUGAGAGCUCGAGGAGCCUGCACGCACACCUUCACCAAUUGGACAAUAAUAGCUGUCAAUCACACUGUGGUAUGAACCCCCCCAAUACAACUGGUGCUUUGGGGUCUCUAUUAAUGAGAAGAAUUUCUCACAGACUUCUAUAGAAACUACCAGUGGAGUCGCCCCCUGCUGGUCACUACACAGAACACAGUGUCAGACACACUGGCUUCACUUUAUGGACCAGGCGUCUGUUUUCAUGAACAAAUAAACAAUAUGAACAAUA
Long non-coding RNA from Pleuronectes platessa (European plaice), 1882 nucleotides. RefSeq lists it as uncharacterized. The transcript has 2 exons. Lineage: Eukaryota; Metazoa; Chordata; Actinopteri; Pleuronectiformes; Pleuronectidae. The record is from RefSeq and is a predicted model, not a curated record.